GACGAACGCUGGCGGCGUGCUUAACACAUGCAAGUCGAACGAUGAUGCCCAGCUUGCUGGGCGGAUUAGUGGCGAACGGGUGAGUAACACGUGAGUAACCUGCCCUUGACUUCGGGAUAACUCCGGGAAACCGGGGCUAAUACCGGAUAUGAGCCGUCCUCGCAUGGGGGUGGUUGGAAAGUUUUUCGGUCAGGGAUGGGCUCGCGGCCUAUCAGCUUGUUGGUGGGGUGAUGGCCUACCAAGGCGACGACGGGUAGCCGGCCUGAGAGGGCGACCGGCCACACUGGGACUGAGACACGGCCCAGACUCCUACGGGAGGCAGCAGUGGGGAAUAUUGCACAAUGGGCGAAAGCCUGAUGCAGCGACGCCGCGUGAGGGAUGAAGGCCUUCGGGUUGUAAACCUCUUUCAGCAGGGAAGAAGCGCAAGUGACGGUACCUGCAGAAGAAGCGCCGGCUAACUACGUGCCAGCAGCCGCGGUAAUACGUAGGGCGCAAGCGUUGUCCGGAAUUAUUGGGCGUAAAGAGCUCGUAGGCGGUUUGUCGCGUCUGGUGUGAAAACUCGAGGCUCAACCUCGAGCUUGCAUCGGGUACGGGCAGACUAGAGUGCGGUAGGGGAGACUGGAAUUCCUGGUGUAGCGGUGGAACGCGCAGAUAUCAGGAGGAACACCGAUGGCGAAGGCAGGUCUCUGGGCCGCAACUGACGCUGAGGAGCGAAAGCAUGGGGAGCGAACAGG
Molecule: ribosomal RNA, 734 nt
Filed under: uncultured Cellulosimicrobium sp.
Lineage: Bacteria; Bacillati; Actinomycetota; Actinomycetes; Micrococcales; Promicromonosporaceae
Description: bacterial SSU rRNA
Rfam family: Bacterial small subunit ribosomal RNA
Source: RNAcentral